CUACAUUAGAUACCCCGGUAGUCCCAGCCGUAAACUAUGCGCGUUAGGUGUAUCGGUGACCACGAGUUACCGAGGUGCCGAAGGGAAACCGUGAAACGUGCCGCCUGGGAAGUACGGUCGCAAGGCUGAAACUUAAAGGAAUUGGCGGGGAGCACCACAACGGGUGGAGCCUGCGGUUUAAUUGGACUCAACGCCGGGAAGCUCACCGGAUAAGACAGCGGAAUGAUUGCCGGGCUGAAGACUCUGCAUGACUAGCUG
This 258-nucleotide ribosomal RNA is filed under the name uncultured archaeon. Its description in RNAcentral is "partial 16S ribosomal RNA". It matches the Rfam family "Archaeal small subunit ribosomal RNA", at positions 724 to 982 of the family's 1478-position model. The record is from RNAcentral.